Molecule: long non-coding RNA, 426 nt
Filed under: Olea europaea (common olive)
Lineage: Eukaryota; Viridiplantae; Streptophyta; Magnoliopsida; Lamiales; Oleaceae
Description: long non-coding RNA (OEUR_LNC011938)
Source: RNAcentral
UCUGGUUUACUAACAGUGAGAUAUUGCUGACUAGUGAUCCAGCUAAUGUUCACUACAUAUUGAGCAAAAAUUUUCCAAACUUCACAAAAGGUCCUGAAUUUAAGAAGAUAUUCGACAUUUUAGGAGAUGGGAUAUUCAAUGCAGAAUCGGAAUCCUGGAAAAACCAAAGGAGAACUGUUAUGUCGUUAAUCAAUCACCACAAGUUCCAAAAGUUCGUUGCUACAAUUAGCCAGAACAAGGUGGAAGAAGGGCUCAUCCCAGUUCUUGAGAAUGCUGCAAAAAUGGGAAAGGAAGUGGAUAUGCAAGAGUUAUUUCAGCGUUUCACCUUUGAUUCUGCUUGCAUUAUGGUUUUAGGCCAUGAUCCAGCUUCAUUGUGCAUUGAUUUGCCCCAUUUGCCAUAUGAAAAGGCCUUUGCUGAUGCUGAGG